Pygoscelis adeliae (Adelie penguin) is the source of this 216-nucleotide long non-coding RNA. RefSeq lists it as uncharacterized. The transcript is spliced from 3 exons. The record is from RefSeq and is a predicted model, not a curated record. Lineage: Eukaryota; Metazoa; Chordata; Aves; Sphenisciformes; Spheniscidae.
UUUUAGGAGGAACUUGCAGACAAUAUCUCACAGCUUAUCCAUGUGAUUCAGAAUACAGAGGCUCGAAACCUGUUCAUUCAGACAUUUUGGCAAACUAUGAACCGUGAAUGGAAUGGGAUAGACAAUCUACGUCUUGAUAAGUACUACAUGCUAAUGCGUAUGAUUUUGAGGCAAUCCUUUGAAGUGCUGAAAAGAAAUGAAUGGGAUGAAAGGUAA